RNAcentral lists this ribosomal RNA (192 nucleotides) under uncultured bacterium. RNAcentral's name for it is "partial 16S ribosomal RNA". It matches the Rfam family "Bacterial small subunit ribosomal RNA", at positions 1309 to 1500 of the family's 1533-position model. The record is from RNAcentral.
AACCCGACUACAUGAAGCUGGAAUCGCUAGUAAUCGCGGAUCAGAAUGCCGCGGUGAAUACGUUCCCGGGUCUUGUACACACCGCCCGUCACACCAUGGGAGUCGGAAAUGCCCGAAGUCUGUGACCCAACCUACGGGAGGGAGCAGCCGAAGGCAGGUCUGAUAACUGGGGUGAAGUCGUAACAAGGUAGC